GGUAGAAUGGCCGAGUGGUUAAGGCGCUGUGUUUAGGUUAUCAAUUCGAAACCAAACCCGCAGUGGGAAACCGCCUGGGUUCGAACCCCAGUUCUGCCA
Non-coding RNA from Ilyonectria robusta, 99 nucleotides. Lineage: Eukaryota; Fungi; Ascomycota; Sordariomycetes; Hypocreales; Nectriaceae. The record is from the annotation of a RefSeq genome assembly.